This is a long non-coding RNA of Pseudomyrmex gracilis, 824 nucleotides long. RefSeq lists it as uncharacterized. The record is from RefSeq and is a predicted model, not a curated record. The transcript has 4 exons. Lineage: Eukaryota; Metazoa; Arthropoda; Insecta; Hymenoptera; Formicidae.
CCCUACUUCUUGUUCUAGAAAGCUUAGAUUGGUUGAUUUUCUUAUGUCUCACGCGUUAUGCGUUAUGCAAAAGUCUGUGCUUCGGCCUUUUUUCUCACUACUAUUUAAAUGCCCAUAUGACGUUUUUCUGUAGAAAGUGGCGGUAAAAGAAAAGAUUUUAGGUUGUAAAGAAGUGCGAUGUGUGUUAAACACCACCUUACUGUGUUAAUUAUAAUAUGAAGUGAUAGCGUUCAGUGUGAUUUCUUGAUCAGUGUUCAGUGUUUUGUGAACAGUGAAAAAGUGUUUAAUAACCAAGAGGAAAAAGAGAAUAAUUAAUCUGUAUAAAGAUCAUACAGAUUCUCAAUUCUCUUUUACACUUUGAUCUUAGUUUUUUUGCAGGUAUAACUUUAAAUCAGAAAAAAGAAUGGCAGUUCAAAUGCUUGGUGUAUUGUAAAGGAGUGCAACAACAGGAUUGUUGCAGAAAAAAGACAUUUUUUUUGUUUUUCAAAGGAACAUAACAGAUGGUUGAAAUGGAUAGAAAGUAUGUAAAAAACAAGAUAAAGUGAUAGAACCAGAAUGCCUAUUUGAAAUAUCGAAUGUGGCAUUUACAUUUUGAAGAGGAAUGGUACAAAGGAAACAAAAAGAGAGCGUAUCUUUAUCCAGAUGCUAUACCGACAAUAUUUGAAAGGACACUUAUAAGCUUGUAUAUGCCGAAAAUAUAUCGGAUAAUCAUUUUGUAGCAUCAAAGGAUUCAGAGCUUUUACAAUUUUUACGGAGUCUGAAAUCAACUUACGACUUAAGAGGGUACUGGAGCGAGAUCCGAAGUCCGCACUGUGGUCUCUGCC